Long non-coding RNA from Aquila chrysaetos chrysaetos, 881 nucleotides. RefSeq lists it as uncharacterized. The transcript has 4 exons. The record is from RefSeq and is a predicted model, not a curated record. Lineage: Eukaryota; Metazoa; Chordata; Aves; Accipitriformes; Accipitridae.
GGACGUUGCCUCGCCGGGGGACAGACUCCCGCUCCCGCCGAGCGGCCGCUGCCCGGUGCCCGUCCCUCCAUCUCCUGCCGACGCCUGAGAUCACUGUCAAAACACCCUUCGGCACCGCACUGUCCUGCCAGCGAAGCCCCUCAGGGUUCGCGCAGGGCCUGCUGGCGCUCGCAGCCUCCCCCAGGCGGGUCCUGUCAGGGGUAUGGGUGCCGUGCGCGCCUUCCCCGCGCGCUCCGCUCCGCUCCGCUCCGCUCCGCGCGGCCCUUAACGGCCGUUGGAGGGCGGGGCGCUGCGGCUCGAGCCGCACCUGCUCGCGCGCCGCAGAACCUUCCAGAGAGCCGAGGCGAGGCGAGGCGCGGCGCCCUCUGAGUGUCUUUGCAGCAGCCUGUAACCUGAAGAGAGUAUACUCCUCCAAACCUGCUUUUUGAGAGUCAGGUACCAGAGGUGAAAUCAUUGUGAUUAGCAAAGAGAGGCACGUUCUUCUCAGAAGAGAAGCAGAGCAAGCAAGGUUAUUCCUAGAGGAGUCAUCACCUAGUGGUUUGCACGCUGUAGAAAACAGAGACACCAAGCAGGCGGACAUCUUAUCUUCUCAUCCCACCUGUACUGUGCUAGAUCCUGCUACCAGCUGAGGACUGUCUCCAGGAAUUACAUUUGGUUACAAAAAUCAUCUGUUGCUUCUGAAAUUUGAAGAGUGAAUCUGCUUUCAUUGCUGCAGCAGUCACACCUCCUCCAAUGAAACCAGGCUAAGUGUGGUAAGCAUACUGUCUUCAUAAGGCUCAUAAUCUAAAGAACUGUGCAGAAUUUGGUAAAUAGCACUAUUAUGUUGUCUUGUCUGCUUACAGCUUGUGUUUGAGUUGUUAAGAAUUUGAGUGAAAGCUGGA